GAUUCCACACAGGAAGGUCACAUUAAAGAUUACAAGGGUGAAUAUCUGAUAGAUAUAAAAGUUGAGAGUAAAGCAGAAGAAGAAGAAGAGAGGUAUGUGAGGGAUGAUCAGCAGUCUAUGGAGAAGGAUGAAAUAAUAAGACUAAUUAUAGAGGAGGACACGCCUACAGAGAUCAGCACAGUAGAUGGACGGGAGAUGAGGAAAACCUCAGAGGAUUGU
Molecule: long non-coding RNA, 219 nt
Organism: Rana temporaria (common frog)
Lineage: Eukaryota; Metazoa; Chordata; Amphibia; Anura; Ranidae
Exons: 3
Source: RefSeq, a predicted model, not a curated record